RNAcentral lists this ribosomal RNA (465 nucleotides) under uncultured bacterium. RNAcentral's name for it is "partial 16S ribosomal RNA". It matches the Rfam family "Bacterial small subunit ribosomal RNA", at positions 28 to 507 of the family's 1533-position model. The record is from RNAcentral.
GACGAACGCUGGCGGCGUGCUUAACACAUGCAAGUCGUACGGUAAGGCCCUUUCGGGGGUACACGAGUGGCGAACGGGUGAGUAACACGUGAGUAACCUGCCCACAACUUUGGGAUAACGCUAGGAAACUGGUGCUAAUACUGGAUAUGUGCUCCUGCUGCAUGGUGGGGGUUGGAAAGCUCCGGCGGUUGUGGAUGGACUCGCGGCCUAUCAGCUUGUUGGUGGGGUAGUGGCCUACCAAGGCGGCGACGGGUAGCCGGCCUGAGGGGGUGACCGGCCACAUUGGGACUGAGAUACGGCCCAGACUCCUACGGGAGGCAGCAGUGGGGAAUAUUGCACAAUGGGCGCAAGCCUGAUGCAGCAACGCCGCGUGCGGGAUGACGGCCUUCGGGUUGUAAACCGCUUUCAGCAGGGACGACGCUUUUUGUGACGGUACCUGCAGAAGAAGCACCGGCUAACUACGUG